This 251-nucleotide ribosomal RNA is filed under the name uncultured prokaryote. Its description in RNAcentral is "partial 16S rRNA". It matches the Rfam family "Bacterial small subunit ribosomal RNA", at positions 525 to 775 of the family's 1533-position model. The record is from RNAcentral.
ACGGAGGGUUCCCGCGGUAACCGGAAAAAAGGGGCGUAAAGCGCACGCAGGCGGUUUGUUAAGUCAGAUGUGAAAUCCCCGGGCUCAACCUGGGAACUGCAUCUGAUACUGGCCAGCUUGAGUCUCGUAGAGGGGGGUAGAAUUCCAGGUGUAGCGGUGAAAUGCGUAGAGAUCUGGAGGAAUACCGGUGGCGAAGGCGGCCCCCUGGACGAAGACUGACGCUCAGGUGCGAAAGCGUGGGGAGCAAACAG